Molecule: ribosomal RNA, 323 nt
Filed under: uncultured Pseudomonadota bacterium
Lineage: Bacteria; Pseudomonadati; Pseudomonadota
Description: bacterial SSU rRNA
Rfam family: Bacterial small subunit ribosomal RNA
Source: RNAcentral
AUUGAACGCUGGCGGAAUGCUUUACACAUGCAAGUCGAACGGCAGCACGGGUGCUUGCACCUGGUGGCGAGUGGCGAACGGGUGAGUAAUGCACCGGAACGUAUCCAAUAAUGGGGGAUAACGCACCGAAAGGUGUGCUAAUACCGCAUACGCCCUGAGGGGGAAAGCGGGGGAUCGUAAGACCUCGCGUUAAUGGAGCGGCCGAUGCCGGAUUAGCUAGUUGGUGAGGUAAAGGCUCACCAAGGCGACGAUCCGUAGCUGGUCUGAGAGGACGACCAGCCACACUGGAACUGAGACACGGUCCAGACUCCUACGGGAGGCAG